UACGAGGGGUCCUAGCGUUGUUCGGAAUCAUUGGGCGUAAAGGGUGCGUAGGUGGCCAUUCAAGUCAGUUGUGAAAGCCCCGAGCUUAACUUGGGAAUUGCGCUUGUGACUGGCGUGCUGGAGUGUGGCAGAGGGAGGUGGAAUUCCACGUGUAGCAGUGAAAUGCGUAGAGAUGUGGAGGAACACCGAUGGCGAAGGCAGCCUCCUGGGCCAGCACUGACGCUCAUGCACGAAAGCGUGGGGAGCAAACAGG
RNAcentral lists this ribosomal RNA (253 nucleotides) under uncultured bacterium. RNAcentral's name for it is "partial 16S ribosomal RNA". It matches the Rfam family "Bacterial small subunit ribosomal RNA", at positions 524 to 776 of the family's 1533-position model. The record is from RNAcentral.